RNAcentral lists this ribosomal RNA (332 nucleotides) under uncultured Acholeplasma sp. RNAcentral's name for it is "bacterial SSU rRNA". It matches the Rfam family "Bacterial small subunit ribosomal RNA", at positions 1047 to 1382 of the family's 1533-position model. Lineage: Bacteria; Bacillati; Mycoplasmatota; Mollicutes; Acholeplasmatales; Acholeplasmataceae. The record is from RNAcentral.
GGUUGUCGUCAGCUCGUGUCGUGAGAUGUUGGUUAAGUCCGCAACGAGCGCAACCCUUAUUGCUAGUUACCAUCAUUCAGUUGGGGACUCUAGCGAGACUGCCAGUGAUAAACUGGAGGAAGGUGGGGAUGACGUCAAAUCAUCAUGCCCCUUAUGACCUGGGCUACAAACGUGAUACAAUGGCUGAAACAAAGGGCAGCGAAGCAGUGAUGUGGAGCGAAACCCAAAAAAGCAGUCUCAGUUCGGAUUGAAGUCUGCAACUCGACUUCAUGAAGUCGGAAUCGCUAGUAAUCGCGGAUCAGAACGCCGCGGUGAAUACGUUCUCGGGGUUU